RNAcentral lists this ribosomal RNA (506 nucleotides) under uncultured bacterium. RNAcentral describes it as "partial 16S ribosomal RNA". It matches the Rfam family "Bacterial small subunit ribosomal RNA", at positions 30 to 523 of the family's 1533-position model. The record is from RNAcentral.
AUUGAACGCUGGCGGCAGGCUUAACACAUGCAAGUCGAGCGGUAACAGAGAGAAGCUUGCUUCUCUGCUGACGAGCGGCGGACGGGUGAGUAAUGCCUAGGAAUCUGCCUAGUAGUGGGGGAUAACUUGCCGAAAGGUAAGCUAAUACCGCAUACGUCCUACGGGAGAAAGGAGGGGACCUUCGGGCCUUUCGCUAUUAGAUGAGCCUAGGUCGGAUUAGUUAGUUGGUGAGGUAAUGGCUCACCAAGACCGCGAGCCGUAACUGGUCUGAGAGGAUGAUCAGUCACACUGGAACUGAGACACGGUCCAGACUCCUACGGGAGGCAGCAGUGGGGAAUAUUGGGCAAUGGGGGGAACCCUGAUCCAGCCAUGCCGCGUGUGUGAAGAAGGUCUUAGGAUUGUAAAGCACUUUAAGUUGGGAGGAAGAGCAGUUAACUAAUAUUUGACUGUUUUGACGUUACCGACAGAAUAAGCACCGGCUAACUUCGUGCCAGCAGCCGCGGUAA